Molecule: long non-coding RNA, 747 nt
Organism: Balaenoptera acutorostrata (minke whale)
Lineage: Eukaryota; Metazoa; Chordata; Mammalia; Artiodactyla; Balaenopteridae
Exons: 3
Source: RefSeq, a predicted model, not a curated record
CACAGACUUCAGGAGCCAUGGAGAACCUGCUUCUCUUUGGCUGGAUUUGCUUCAUAAAGCCUUUUCCAUGGCAACAGGGAAGUACUUGGAAAGUACUGCAGCUGACACUGUGAAAAAUAUCACCUCUCUCAAGAGGAUCGUACAUUUGCUUUGCCUACAAAGAGAAUGGCUGCAAGAAUUUCUCCCACUUUGAGUUAGAAGAGCAGCACAUUUUAAGAGUGAAACUCAAAGGAAUCCCCAAUAAAACUGACUGGCUGGACAAGGCUUCGGACCCAGUACAGCCCCCAGAGUCGGGGAGUCUGCCCCGCGACAGGACCCUCACCCGAGUUUGCUGAGGGCCUUGGGUGCACCCUGGGCGCUGAGGAUUACGUGAAGUGCGUAGAGUGGACCCGGCUGUCAUCCCCCAACUGCCCUUCUCCACUGCGCUGACCUCGCUACUGAAGAGGUGGUCAUUCCUCAGAGAAGGAUGUUCUCAAAAACUAAUCUUCCUGUUGCCUGGGCAGUGCCUUAUCCCCCUGGUUCUUAGACAGCUGUGCCGGACUGCAGCGGUGUGUGGUGUGGGUCCCAGCUGGCCACUCUAGCUCUGUGGCCGUGGGCAAGUUACCUCUCGUGUCUCGUCUGAAAAAGGAGCAUCACGUGAUGACACCUACUUGUAGGGACGUUGUGGAGACCAGAGGGACCAAUACAUGUGCUAGCUCUUAGUAGAAUGUGUUUGGGCUAUGCUGAAUAAAGUUCUUCAUGCUAAUG